Molecule: ribosomal RNA, 698 nt
Filed under: uncultured Gammaproteobacteria bacterium
Lineage: Bacteria; Pseudomonadati; Pseudomonadota; Gammaproteobacteria
Description: bacterial SSU rRNA
Rfam family: Bacterial small subunit ribosomal RNA
Source: RNAcentral
GUCGAACGUGAAAGCACUUCGGUGUGAGUAGAGUGGCGGACGGGUGAGUAACGCGUGGGAAUCUACCCAGUAGUGGGGGACAACUACCGGAAACGGUAGCUAAUACCGCAUACGCCCUAUGGGGGAAAGGCUUCGGCCGCUAUUGGAUGAGCCCGCGUCAGAUUAGCUAGUUGGUAGGGUAAAGGCCUACCAAGGCAACGAUCUGUAGCUGGUCUGAGAGGACGAACAGCCACACUGGGACUGAGACACGGCCCAGACUCCUACGGGAGGCAGCAGUGGGGAAUAUUGGUCAAUGGGCGAAAGCCUGAUCCAGCAAUGCCGCGUGUGUGAAGAAGGCCUGCGGGUUGUAAAGCACUUUCAGUUGGGAAGAUGAUGACGUUACCAACAGAAGAAGCACCGGCUAAAUCCGUGCCAGCAGCCGCGGUAAUACGGAUGGUGCGAGCGUUAAUCGGAAUUACUGGGCGUAAAGCGCGCGUAGGCGGCUAAGUCAGUCAGAAGUGAAAGCCCCGGGCUCAACCUGGGAAUUGCUUUUGAUACUGCUUAGCUAGAGUUUGGUAGAGGAUAGUGGAAUUCCAGGUGUAGCGGUGAAAUGCGUAGAUAUCUGGAGGAACAUCAGUGGCGAAGGCGACUGUCUGGACCAAAACUGACGCUGAGGUGCGAAAGCGUGGGUAGCAAACAGGAUUAGAUACCCUGGUAGA